Molecule: long non-coding RNA, 768 nt
Filed under: Rhinopithecus bieti (black snub-nosed monkey)
Lineage: Eukaryota; Metazoa; Chordata; Mammalia; Primates; Cercopithecidae
Description: lncRNA (ENSRBIG00000045081.1)
Source: RNAcentral
GAUUUCUGGAGGUAAAUAUGCCUCUUGACCUCUUUCCAGAUCACUGCUACUCCAACCCCUAGAGGGUAAUUGUUUUUCUUCCCCGGUGAGUGAAAGCUUGUCAAAACCUUCCACCACAUCGACUUCCGCGUAGAUGACAGGGGCACCUAGAUCCCUUUACACCCAAACAACAGCACAAAGAGAAAGAGAGGAAGCUAAAGUAUGGGUUGUUUCCUUCCUUCUUCCCCAAAAUUUCCUGAGGAGGUGCUUUGAGGGGACCAUACCAUGAGAACAAUACACAGCUGCUGCUGUAUAGAGAUAUCUAAUUGUCAAUAUUGUGGAAAUUCUACAGCUUAUUACGUGCAUUCAGUCUAAUUCUGGGCAAAUUGCCAGUCACUUCAGGGACAAUCAAGUGAGCCACAUUACACGUGGUACAGCAUCACAGCUUUAAGAUACCCGGCUGUUUUGCCUCUGGCCAGAGAAUGUUUGUACCAGUGCUACCGAGUGAAGGGGGGUAACUACAAAUAAAAUAAAAUUUGUAUUUUUUCAAGUGGGCUGCAUUUCAAGCCCAGAUGUUAGUAAUGAAAGAUUCAAUUUAAGGAUUUAAAUUACAAAUAAAUAAAGUAUGAAACAGAUGUGAUUUUUAAGGAAGUUCAAAUUAUCCAGGAAGAAAAAUAUCUCUGUGCAUGACAAAGUAAUAGGGAUUGUCUUGAAGAGUCUGUUGAAAACAAUCUGCUAAGCGCAAUUCACCCUUAGGACAGGAUUGGUUUGGAAUGGGAAGGACUGGUG